Molecule: ribosomal RNA, 115 nt
Filed under: Streptococcus dysgalactiae
Lineage: Bacteria; Bacillati; Bacillota; Bacilli; Lactobacillales; Streptococcaceae
Also listed under: 1 other name
Source: RNAcentral
UUAAGUGACGAUAGCCUAGGAGAUACACCUGUACCCAUGCCGAACACAGUAGUUAAGCCCUAGAACGCCUGAAGUAGUUGGGGGUUGCCCCUGUUAGAUACGGUAGUCGCUUAGC